UAAGCAGCAUCGGGCUUGGUGACC
This 24-nucleotide microRNA is filed under the name Triops cancriformis. RNAcentral's name for it is "tcf-miR-10306". The record is from miRBase by way of RNAcentral. Lineage: Eukaryota; Metazoa; Arthropoda; Branchiopoda; Notostraca; Triopsidae.